Molecule: ribosomal RNA, 253 nt
Filed under: uncultured bacterium
Lineage: Bacteria
Description: partial 16S ribosomal RNA
Rfam family: Bacterial small subunit ribosomal RNA
Source: RNAcentral
UACGGGGGGGGCAAGCGUUGUUCGGAAUUACUGGGCGUAAAGGGCUCGUAGGCGGCCAACUAAGUCGGAUGUGAAAUCCCCAGGCUCAACCUGGGAACUGCGUCUGAUACUGGAUGGCUUGAAUCCGGGAGAGGGAUGCAGAAUUCCAGGUGUAGCGGUGAAAUGCGUAGAUAUCUGGAGGAAUACCGGUGGCGAAGGCGGCAUCCUGGACCGGCAUUGACGCUGAGGAGCGAAAGCCAGGGGAGCAAACGGG